CAUUUCUGAUUCAUCUCUGUGUCUCUUUUGUACCAGUCCUCCCCAGGUCUUUCCCCCAGCCACAGAAGCAUAAGUCUGGAAGGUACAGGAAAACCUUCAGUUGCUGAAUCUGACUUCACUGAAGAAGCUAAAACAGUUCAGUGCAUUUUCAGCCCUCCAAAUAUUAGCUGAAUUCACUGCCAUGAUCAUAGGAAUGCCAUGGAUCAUGUCUGAACUCCUUUCUGCUCAGUCUCACCAAUGAAAAAUGGAAGAUGCACACUGGCAUAAAAAGAACGUAAUAAGCUUUGGAGCCAGAGAGACUUAGGUUCAAAUCCCAACUCAAUCGCAUACUCUCUGAGUGAUGUUAGUUACUGAUCCUCCGCCUCCCCCAGACCUCUCCUCACUACCUUGUAACCUGCUUUGUGACAAAUUUUGAGCUGACCCUGGAGUAUAGCAACAAACAAGACACCAUUCUUUCCCCGAGGCUCUCCCAGAAAAAUGACUGGACCACUAACUGGAAGACUAUGGGAUUGGUGCCUUUCUUAGGAAAUGUGCAAAGCUCUGUGUGGACACAGGUUCAGAUCUGGUUCUCUUUUUUGGAGGACUACCCUCAGGCUACUGCAGCCACCUCAAAAUCAAGAUCAAAGAGUCAGAUGUUCAUGUCCCUCUCUGGCUCCUUGUGAGGAUAGAUUUUGAAAUCUCCCUGGCCUCCAGAGUUCCCUGCAGGGUGACGCUGAAUCUACUCCAUGGAUCUUGGAGUGCCUGGUCUUCAUUUCUUCCUCCUCCUUCUGCUUUCCCCGCUUAGCCAGGUUCCUGGGAGAG
Molecule: long non-coding RNA, 801 nt
Filed under: Capra hircus (goat)
Lineage: Eukaryota; Metazoa; Chordata; Mammalia; Artiodactyla; Bovidae
Description: lncRNA (ENSCHIG00000008058.1)
Source: RNAcentral